AUGGCCAGCGAUGUUGAGGCGCCCAAUGCGGACCGGAUGGUGGCAUGCCGGCAGCAGUACCAGGUGAGGAUGAGGAGGAGAAUGAGGCUGAAGCCGCAUCUGAGGCCGAAGCUGCUGCUACAGACGAGGAUGCAAACACCGAGGCUGGACCAGACGGAGCCGAAGCGGACGAUGAGGCCGGACCAGACGGAGCCGAAGCGGACGAUGAGGCCGGACCAGGCGAGGCAGGACCGGGCGGCAGCGUGGCAGCUGCGGAAGCCAAUGAAGCUGAUGCUGACGCUGCAGACGUGGACGAGGCUGAUGAUGCUGAGGACGCUGCAGAUGUGGACGAGGCUGAUGAUGAUGAGGACGCUGCAGGCGUGGGCGAAGCUGAUGAUGAUGAUGAAGACGCUGGACCAGGCGUGGGCGAAGCUGAUGAUGAUGAGGACGCUGGACCAGGCGAGGAAGAAGACACGGAGGCUGGACCAGACGAGGAUGCAGAAGACACGGAGGCUGGACCAGACGAGGAUGCAGAAGACACGGAGGCUGGACCAGACGAGGAUGCAGAAGACACGGAGGCUGGACCAGACGAGGAUGCAGAAGACACGGGGACUGGACCAGACGAGGAUGCAGAAGACACGGGGACUGGACCAGACGAGGAUGCAGAAGACACGGAGACUGGACCAGACGAGGAUGCAGACACGGAGACUAGACCAGACUAGGGCGAAGACAAAGCUGAAGCUGGACCAGGCGACGAUGACGAUGAAGGUGAGACUGCUGUUGCAGGCGUGAGUGAAGCUGCCGCUGCAGGCGUGGGUGAAGCUGCAGCCGCAGGCGAGGAUGAUGAAGCUGCAGCCGCAGGCAAGGAUGAUGAAGCUGCAGCCGCAGGCAAGGAUGAUGAAGCUGCAGCCGCAGGCAAGGAUGAUGAAGCUGCACCCGCAGGCAAGGAUGAUGAAGCUGCACCAGGCAACGCUGAAGCUGAUGCAGAGGCCGGACCAGGCAAAGCAGGACCGGGUAGCAGCGUGGCAGCUGCGGAAGCCAAUGAAGCUGAAGCUAGCCCAGGCCAGGAUAAAGCUGAUGCUGCAGGCGUGGGUGAGGCUGAUGCUGACGCUGCAGGCAUGGAAGAAGACACGGAGGCUGGACCAGGCGAGGAGGAAGAGACGGAGGCUGGACCAGGCGUGGAUGAAGGCUCUGAAGCUGGACCAGACGAGAAUGUCGCUGCAGGCGGUGGCGUGAAAGCCGGAGACGAAGGCGCUGCAGACAAUGGCGCUGCAGGCGGCGGCGUGAAAGCCGGAGACGAAGGCACUGCAGGAGACGGCUUGGGAGCCGCAGGUGGUGGAGCUGCUGCAGCUGCUGCUGCAGGCGGUGAUGAAGCUGCUGCAGCCGCUGCUGCAGGCGGUGAUGGAGCUGCUGCAGCCGCUGCUGCAGGCGGUGAUGGAGCUGCUGCAGCCGCUGCUGCAGGCGGUGAUGGAGCCGCUGCUGCAGGCGGUGAUGGAGCCGCUGCUGCAGGCGGUGAUGGAGCCGCUGCUGCAGGCGGUGAUGGGGCCGCUGCAGGUGGUGAUGGAGCCACUGCUGCAGGCGGUGAUGGAGCUGCUGCAGCCGCCGCUGCAGGCGGUCAUGGGGCCGCCGCUGCAGGCGGUGAUGGAGCCGCCGCUGCAGGCGGUGAUGGAGCCGCCGCUGCAGCCGCUGCUGCAGGCGGUGAUGGGGCCGCUGCAGGCGGUGAUGGAGCCGCUCCUGCAGCUGCUGCUGCAGGCGGUGAUGGAGCCGCUGCUGCAGGCGGUGUUGGUAGCUGGACGGACUCCUCGGUCCCCCCAGCGAAAGCAGCAGGCUGAAGCGGUUCCUGAGACCCCUCAGUUGAAGCUGCUGAUGACAGUGAGGGCUGGACGGGCUCCUCGGUCCCCCCAGCGAAAACAGGUCCAAAACCAGUAGGCACGGGCGCCUCUGGCACACAUGAGGAGAACUGCAGCUGCACAGAGCACUGACCCUGCUCAGGCAGUGACAGCCGGGUGCGGUCCUUAGCUGGCAACUUGGCCUCCAAGGGUCCAGAGUUAGCUGCAGGUUGUAACCUAGCCUCUGGGGAAGCCCUGGAGCGAGUCCCUAACAUUGCUAGCGUUUGAGGAACAGGUGUGUCUCUCUGCUUAGAGUGAGCGCUCGGAAAACAGUUCAAAAUGGGCGGUGUACGCACAGCCUCUUGCAGAGGGGUGAGUGAAGACUGUGACUGAGCCAUUAACUGAACUACUGACUGAGCCAUAGACUGAAAUAUGGGUUGUAGUGACUCCAGUGGUGAGGAUAGCUGAGUUGCUGACUGAAUUGGUGGCUGAACAGGUUGCACUGACAGAAGUGGAGCAGGUGAAGUAGGGAAAUCACAAGGAGAACUGUCCCCCAUCACAAAACACUCAGCCCCUGAGUACGAAGUCACAAAGUCAGAAGCAACCCGAUCAGUGUCCUUUACACUCACCACAGCCGGGCGCGCUGUAGUCCCAAACUCUGGUGGCGGAAUGGCGCGCCAACGGCGCGAUUGUUGCUUCCUUGUGGAAGAGGAAGCGGGGGUGUCUGAUGGAAAGGAGGAAGACCUCUGUUGCGGCCGCUCCUGCUGCGGGGUGGAAAAGACAACCGCUCCCGUCAAUACCUUAGGAGUGACAGGAAGUGUGGCAGGGUGAUGACGGCGAGGGUAGCUUUUCAUCUUUAAAGGUGGGUCGAGUGAUUUGGCCACAAACCUUGGUGAAAAAUGCUGCUGACGCCGAGAACACCAAGCGGCGAGUGCCUCCAGAAGGGCAGCUGAAUCUUCCUGCUCUGGGCUGCCCAUGCCAAACAGUUCAAAACACAAACUGGUUCUCAGAGCUGAUACCACUUGUUUUAAUCCUUUAAUGUGCAGAAAGGUUAUGGUGAAGGUAGGGGAUGACAAGAAGUUGUCAAAAAACACUACCUCUGGAAGCCUCUUGUAGUUAUCCACGGCGUGAAUUAUGCGCCGGCAAUAAUCCCACAGCUGUGCGAGGUGCUUUCCCUCUGAGGCAAAAGGGGAGUCCGCUGGAUCCAUCUUGUGGUCGUGUCGUACUGUCAUGACUGGGGCCACAGUCGUAUGAAGGUGAGAAAGGAGGAUCCAAUAGCAGACAGUGGCGAAGGUGCAAGUGGGUUUUAUUUACAGUGCACAAAACCAAGGUGUGGAGCAGAACCGAUCAUAAACCUAAACUGGGAAAACUAAUACAAAAAGGAAGACACGGAGCGAGGAGCAGAGAGACAUGGAGAAACACGGGAUAAUGCGGAGUACACAGAGAUUCACAGAGAAACACAGACGACGCGACGAGGAGCACAAGCAGAGACGCAGUAUAAAUACACACAUCAGGUAAUCAGGAAAUAGCACACAGGAGGGGAAACAGCUGGAACUAAUGGACAUAACGAGACACAAACCUACAAAGUAAAACAGGAAACACACAGACUGUUUUACACAACCAACUGGGGACACGAACAGAACACAGAGGAGAGACACAGGUAGGGAUGAUAGAACACAACUCAAACCCUAAGAACAAAUACAAAACAGCAGAAACUGGAAAAUAAUAACAAUAAACUCAAAACGCUGGGUCAUAGACCCAGGAUCAUGACAGGAACUGAGUGAUUCCA
This 3597-nucleotide long non-coding RNA is filed under the name Oreochromis niloticus (Nile tilapia). RNAcentral describes it as "lncRNA (ENSONIG00000040284.1)". The record is from RNAcentral. Lineage: Eukaryota; Metazoa; Chordata; Actinopteri; Cichliformes; Cichlidae.